UGGCAAUGGGCUGUGGACUCUCAUUCUA
Molecule: non-coding RNA, 28 nt
Filed under: Homo sapiens (human)
Lineage: Eukaryota; Metazoa; Chordata; Mammalia; Primates; Hominidae
Source: RNAcentral